This 301-nucleotide ribosomal RNA is filed under the name uncultured bacterium. Its description in RNAcentral is "partial 16S ribosomal RNA". It matches the Rfam family "Bacterial small subunit ribosomal RNA", at positions 509 to 807 of the family's 1533-position model. The record is from RNAcentral.
CAGUCGCCGCGGGAAUACAGAGGGUGCGAGCGUUAAUCGGAUUUACUGGGCGUAAAGCGUGCGUAGGCGGCUUCUUAAGUCGGAUGUGAAAUCCCUGAGCUUAACUUAGGAAUUGCAUUCGAUACUGGGAAGCUAGAGUAUGGGAGAGGAUGGUAGAAUUCCAGGUGUAGCGGUGAAAUGCGUAGAGAUCUGGAGGAAUACCGAUGGCGAAGGCAGCCAUCUGGCCUAAUACUGACGCUGAGGUACGAAAGCAUGGGGAGCAAACAGGAUUAGAUAUCCCAGUAGUCCCUGUCUCUUAUAC